UGAGAAACGUUGAAUACAGGAAGAAACAGCUGAGCUGGGAUCUGAACCGCUGAGCUCAGAAGGCAGCCAUUCCAUCCAGUGUGAGGCAGGAAGAAAGGGGCUAUGCCAGUGACCCUGGUCCCUUUUCUAACCAGAGGUUCCCCAGAAAUUCCCGAGCACCCUUCCACUUUCAUCUCACCGAGCAGGCCGGUGUCACGUGGCCACCCCGAGAGUGUCCGGGAAGGCGGCUGUCACCUGGGUUCCACCACCAGCAGAGAGACAGACAGACAGAACCUGCACCCAAGACCAGCAACCCAGAUGGCAAGUGAGCCAUGUCGGUAGAGAGAUUUCUCAGAAAAGGAAACACUGGUAGCCCUUAAGCAGACGGAAAAAUGCUCAACUUCUCUCACAAGAAGAGCAAUUAAAAUGGAAAUAACACGGCGAUGCCGCUUGGCACCUAUCAGAUUGGCAAAAAUCCAAAUGUCUGACAGCACGUUCUGUUGGUGAGACUGUGGGGAAGCUGGCGGCCUCGUGCGUGAAGGGAAAAAUGGCACAGUCCCUGAAGGACACUUUAUGUCCCCAUCGGGAUGCCAUAGCCACAGACCUGAAAGCCCACCCUCCCCUGGGGCUUCCUCGCUGGCUAAGCCAGAUUCCCGCAGGGUUUCUGUUACCUAGAAGCAAAUAAUAUCCCUCUCUCACCCCCUCCCCCCAAAGCUCAGCAGCCAAGAGGUUCUGUUCAGAAGCCAGAUCACAGAGCCUACCUGGGUCAUUUAGUGAGGAGCCAAGUCCAAGCAGGUCCAGGUCCAAACGCUGAGGUCAUCCCUAAGGGCAGAUCUCUCCCAGUGACCUGGCCGUGAGCCAAGCCCGUUCUAGAAACAGUGGGUGUGCCCUGCCCAGGGUGACCCUAACCCAGUG
Myotis brandtii (Brandt's bat) is the source of this 894-nucleotide long non-coding RNA. RefSeq lists it as uncharacterized. NCBI's taxonomy places the organism in Eukaryota, Metazoa, Chordata, Mammalia, Chiroptera, Vespertilionidae. The transcript has 3 exons. The record is from RefSeq and is a predicted model, not a curated record.